CAGAGUACACUGAUUGGUCAAGCCUGAGUCAUGUGUUCAACCUCAAGCCAAUCACUGUAGUCAGGGGAGCAGAGUUCUCUGGCCAUGCCUCCCUGAUGGGAGUCCACCUGAACCGUGGACUGAGAAUGAAAAGGGUGAUUUCUCACAGAGAUACUGGACAGUCAAAACAUGUCCAUCACAGCUUCUUCUUUCUUUCUCUAUGGACCAGUUUUCUGUGUUUUCAGUCAGUAUGGUAGAAGAAAUAUUGCUAUGCCCAGCUCAAGUUUUACUUUCUCUCUAUUCAAGAACACUAGAAGUCCCUGGGAGACUCUGACUAGUGAAGCUCAUACAACUAACUGUGAUGGUGGAGAUGAGGAUAGUCUUAAAGGUAACACGGUUGCAACAGACUCAUCUAUGCGAAUAUAAAGACUCUUCCUUCUGCAGCAAGUAGAAGGCAUGACUGAAGCAACUCAAGUCUACAUCAUCCCAGCUUCGCAAUCUCCCAAGAGAACAAGAGCCCCAGUUGGCCAACAUCUGAACAUAAAUUCUCAUCAGUCCACCUUCAUAAGCAGACGGGGAGGGUCUCCAGGGAUAACAGGAAUUUAACCAACUUCAGCAAUGAGCCUGGUUUACAGCCUCCUGCCCUGCAGCCUGUUCUUCCACAAACCCUGGGUAAAAUGCAGUCACCUUGUUGGUUUAAACCAGCUCUUGACAGACCCCCGGCAACAUACAGAUGAACGCAAGUGAACUUUCUCAUGACCACGCUAAAGUCUCCACCCUGGGCAACCUGUAGCUUCAUUACCAUGACAUGCAACCUAUGCGCUGACGUAAUGACUCACUGCAUCUGUGCAACUAGACCUCUCCUCGUCAUGCAAUGAUGCUCCCUGUCUCCUCUCCAUUGCGCCAUAAAACCCUCCUGUCACUUUCCCUCGGAAAGACACUGCUUUGGAGAAUACCCCCAGUGUCACCCUUACUUGAGUUAAAUAAAACUCCUAUUGAUCAAAGACA
This is a long non-coding RNA of Homo sapiens (human), 987 nucleotides long. RefSeq lists it as uncharacterized. The record is from RefSeq and is a predicted model, not a curated record. The transcript is spliced from 2 exons. Lineage: Eukaryota; Metazoa; Chordata; Mammalia; Primates; Hominidae.